GAUGAACGCUGGCGGCGUGCCUAAUACAUGCAAGUCGAGCGAACAGAUAAGGAGCUUGCUCCUUUGACGUUAGCGGCGGACGGGUGAGUAACACGUGGGUAACCUACCUAUAAGACUGGAAUAACUCCGGGAAACCGGGGCUAAUGCCGGAUAACAUAUAGAACCGCAUGGUUCUAAAGUGAAAGAUGGUUUUGCUAUCACUUAUAGAUGGACCCGCGCCGUAUUAGCUAGUUGGUAAGGUAACGGCUUACCAAGGCAACGAUACGUAGCCGACCUGAGAGGGUGAUCGGCCACACUGGAACUGAGACACGGUCCAGACUCCUACGGGAGGCAGCAGUAGGGAAUCUUCCGCAAUGGGCGAAAGCCUGACGGAGCAACGCCGCGUGAGUGAUGAAGGUCUUCGGAUCGUAAAACUCUGUUAUUAGGGAAGAACAAAUGUGUAAGUAACUGUGCACGUCUUGACGGUACCUAAUCAGAAAGCCACGGCUAACUACGUG
Molecule: ribosomal RNA, 497 nt
Filed under: uncultured bacterium
Lineage: Bacteria
Description: partial 16S ribosomal RNA
Rfam family: Bacterial small subunit ribosomal RNA
Source: RNAcentral